AGCAGCCGCGGUAAUUCCAGCUCCAAUAGCGUAUAUUAAAGUUGUUGCAGUUAAAAAGCUCGUAGUUGAAUUUCGGGGUCAGUAGGUCGGUCGUGCCACUGGUAUGAACUGGUUUCACUGAUUCCUCCCUCUUGUAGAACCGUGAUGCCAUUAAUUUGGUGUUGCGGGGAAACAGGACUGUUACUUUGAAAAAAUUAGAGUGUUUAAAGCAAGCUAACGCUUGAAUACAUUAGCAUGGAAUAAUGAAAUAGGACGUCUGUCUUAUUUUGUUGGUUUCUAGGAUGGACGUAAUGAUUAAUAGGGAUAGUUGGGGGCAUUAGUAUUCAAUUGUCAGAGGUGAAAUUCUUGGAUUUAUUGAAGACUAACUACUGCGAAAGCAUUUGCCAAGGAUGUUUUCAUUAAUCAAGAACGGAAGUUAGGGGAUCGAAGACGAUCAGAUACCGUCGUAGUCUUAACCAUAAACUAUGCCGACUAGGGAUCGGAUGAUGUUAAUUUUUAAUGACUCAUUCGGCGCCUUACG
This 520-nucleotide ribosomal RNA is filed under the name uncultured Glomus. RNAcentral's name for it is "SSU rRNA". It matches the Rfam family "Eukaryotic small subunit ribosomal RNA", at positions 569 to 1092 of the family's 1831-position model. The record is from RNAcentral. Lineage: Eukaryota; Fungi; Glomeromycota; Glomeromycetes; Glomerales; Glomeraceae.